CUAAGAAUAUUCCGCAAUGGACGGAAGUCUGACGGAGCGACGCCGCGUGGAUGACGAAGGCCGAAAGGUUGUAAAGUUCUUUUGCUGGGGAAGAAUAACCGCAGGAGGGAAUGCCUGUGGGGUGACAAGAACCGGCGAAUAAGCCCCGGCCAACUACGUGCCAGCAGCCGCGGUAACACGUAGGGGGCGAGCGUUGUUCGGAAUUACUGGGCGUAAAGGGCAUGUAGGCGGCUUGGAAAGCCUGGCGUGAAAGUCUGCAGCUUAACUGCAGGGGUGCGCUGGGAACUGCUGAGCUUGAGUGACGGAGAGGGAGCUGGAAUUCCUGGUGUAGGGGUGAAAUCUGUAGAUAUCAGGAAGAACACCGAUGGCGAAGGCAAGCUCCUGGCCGAUGACUGACGCUGAGGUGCGAAAGUGUGGGGAUCAAACA
Molecule: ribosomal RNA, 427 nt
Filed under: uncultured bacterium
Lineage: Bacteria
Description: bacterial SSU rRNA
Rfam family: Bacterial small subunit ribosomal RNA
Source: RNAcentral